CGCAGUUCAUCAGUAAUAAGAGAGCCAGAGAGCGCUGAGGAGCAUCGGCAGAGGAGAUUCAGCAGAGAGUGAGCGAGAGAAAGAGAGUGGAGAGCAGUCAGCAGCAGCAGCGAUGCAAAAAGUCAGCAGCACAAAGCUCCAGUUGAAAAACGAUAAACGUCGGGAUAACGAAUCUUUAUUUGAGGAACUCAAGCCAUCACUUAUUGGCUCCAUCGGAUCGCGCAGAUUGAGUGUAAACAUCGAAAAAUUGUACGAUUCAAUGAAUUCGUGAUUAUCGUUCGAGAACGAAAAUAAAUAGAAAAAUUAAAUAAAGUAAAAACAGUGACGAAUAAGCAGGGGGUAAAGAGAAAGAGCGAGAAAAAAGUGUUUUCUGGAUGCGCGUUUGGUUGUGCGCGUUGCUGUUAAAUUCACAUACGCAUAUAAUAUUCCCUCUCGCUCUUCGAGAGUGAGGGAGGGAGAGGGAGAGAGAGAGAGAGAGAAAGACCCUGUGAGUUUAGCAGGCAAGACAGGGCAAAACUAGACUUUAAAGAGUAGUGAGGGUGGAGAAGGAGGGAGAGGAGUGUGGAGGGGUGGGGGAAGUGAGUGAGAGAGAAAGAAGGGCAGUGCGGAUGACAAUGAUGGCCGCCACCAGCGAGGAACGGAGUGUUAUGGAGACUUCGAGAACAAAUUCGGAACAAAAUCAGCCUGUCGAUCGUCUCAAGAUGUUAUAUCCAAUGGUAAACGAAGAGGAAACACCCUUACCAAGAUCGUGGAGCCCUAAGGACAAGUACAACUAUAUAGGACUUUCCCUAAAUAAUCUUCGAGUUAAUUACAAAGGUUAUGGAAAGACACACAAAGACGCUGCCAGUGUUCGCACAACGCACUCCAUACCGGCCGCAUGUGGCCUCUAUUAUUUCGAGGUGAAAAUAGUGAGCAAAGGACGGGACGGUUACAUGGGGAUCGGGCUCUCGGCUCACGGUGUAAACGUCAACAGACUUCCAGGAUGGGACAAACAUUCUUACGGCUAUCACGGUGACGAUGGCCACAGCUUUUGCUCAUCCGGCACAGGACAACCCUACGGACCGACGUUCACGACCGGUGAUGUUAUCGGAUGCGGUGUUAAUCUCGUUGAUAACACCGCAUUUUACACGAAGAACGGUCAUCAUCUCGGUAUUGCCUUCACAGAUUUACCGCCAAAUCUGUAUCCGACCGUGGGUCUCCAAACACCCGGUGAGAUGGUCGAUGCCAAUUUUGGUCAGGCGCCAUUCGUUUUUGACAUCGGUGACAUGAUAAACGAGUUGCGAGUACGAACGAGAUUGCAGAUAAUAAAUUAUCCAACACCUGAUCACGGGCAGGGACAGUGGCAAGCUGUACUUCACAAAAUGGUCUCGACGUAUCUCGUCCAUCACGGCUACUGCGCCACUGCCGAAGCUUUCGCCAGCAGUACCGGACAAACCUUCGAUGAAGAUCUUAACUCCAUUAAAAAUAGACAAAGAAUUUUAAAACUCGUGCUCGCCGGGCGAAUGGGCGAAGCGAUAGAAUUAACGAGUCGAUUAUAUCCGGGUCUUCUCGAACGUGAUUCAAAUUUGAUGUUCGCCCUUAAAUGUCGUCAAUUCGUCGAGAUGGUUAACGGCAGUGAUUCCGAAGUUUGCCAAAGUACGAAUGAUAAUCAAACGAGCGUUAUACAAUCCACCAAGACGUACACGAAAGCAUCCUCGAACGGUAACGUCGAAGAAAUGAAUUUCAACAACACGAUCAACGGAGCUGCGAGCGUCGAUCAACAAUUUAUCAAUGGUCAAAUCGAGGAGGACGUCGAUAUGGAAGACACUACGAACGCGACGAUUAACGGUGUCAAUAAAAAUAACACCAAUGGUUAUCAGAACGGUAAUCCAAGCUCAAAUGGUUUCAAAUGUCAAAAUGGCGAGGAUGUUGAUAUGGAAAUCGACAGUGCCAAUCAACAACAAAACGGUAAUUGCAGCGUAAGCAACGAAACGCCGAGUGGUAAAUGUAGCAAAAAACAAUUAUGCGGUGGCAACAAACAGGCGAUCGAAAAGAUGCUCGAGUUUGGAAGACAAUUGUAUUCACAAUCGAUACACUUACGACAGCAACACGGAAAGAACGAGGCAAACAAAAAAAUGCUUCAAGACGCCUUUAGUUUACUCGCUUAUUCGAGUCCGUGGAAUUCACCUGUCGGAUGGCAGUUAGACCCUCAACAAAGAGAAACCGUUUGCGGAAGACUCAAUUCCGCAAUACUUGAAUCGAGCAAUCUUCCUCGUAGACCACCACUCGAAGUAGCGGUAUCGCACGCACGAGAAUUGGUCCGUUUAAUGUCGAGCGCCGGUCUCGGCGCAUGUGGUUUUGCCGUAGUGGACAAUAUUAUUCAAUAUUGACGGUGCCUAUCUCUGCUGCCACGAGCGCCCCUUCUACCUGCCCGAGUGUGGAUACGGAGACGGAACGUGGAGCAGACGAUACAGUUGAGCCAGCAACGUCGCGAUGUAGACUCCAUCUUCAGCUAGUGGAAAAAAACAAACAAACAAAAAAUCAAAAAAACGUAAUGCGAGAAUACGAGAAACAUAAAACGAAAAAACUUUGAAACACGAUAUUUUGUCGGUGAUUUUACUCGGACCGAUCUCACACCACAAAGAAUAAGAAAAAAAGCAAAAAAAAUGUAAGCUACACACGACACAACGGGUAAAAAACGCUCAGGCCUGCCAGUCACAAGAUCGAGAAAAGAAAAGAAAGUGCAAAAAACAGAAAAAGAACCAAACGAGGACGAUCGGCGAGAUUUUUUUCUUUCUUUCAAUCCUGCUGGAUGAACAUGAACACUCUUGGAGGUCACGAUUUGGUCGCGGGCUUGCGGUUAACGUUGUUCCCUUAUUUCUCCUCAAUCUCAAACCUCCUUUUGAUCCUACGAUAUUCUAUUUUUUUUUCUUUUCUUUCAAUCUCCAGUUUUGACUCUUUCAAGUCUUCAAUUUUUCGUAUCCCUUUGUAAUAGCUCCAUGAUCGUUUCUCGGUUAGAUGUACAACGAGAUACACAUGCCACUCUGUUGAUUCGUCUAAAAAUCGGUAUUUUUAAAGGAAAACAGAAUUCUUAAAGGCAACAAAAAUCCCAUCUUCGUCAAAUUUUUUUAAAACGAAUUCGUCAAUAGAAAAAGCUUCAAAAUGAUUAUUUCGUGUCUACUUUUCAAAGUUCGAUUUUAUACUUUGCAUACUCGGUUUAAAGAUUGCGAGAGUGGAAACAAAAUUCAGUCCCUUUUCCUAAAUCCUCAAAGAUCCAUAAAUCCUUUAUCCGCGAUAUUCUCGUUUUCGGAGUUGUGCAAUAAUACUCACGAAUUGAAUCAAUAUUUCACUGAAUCCGAUGCAUCGAAAAGAAUUAGUCCAACUAUAUCAAAUAGGAAACAGGAUAAAAAACUGAUUUUUCACCCGAGCGAUGAAAAAUCUCGUGCGUAGAAAAAAGAAAUGAAAGAAAAAACCGGUCACGUUCAUUUUCGGGAUCCUGGAGGAGAUCCUCCUGAUCGAAAUUUUUCGGGCGUACCUCGGGGGAGGAGGAACGCGAGAACACGUUUCAACGGAAAACAUACGCGAAAUAAAAAUAAAAGAAAGUGGAAAACACAGAAUAAUAAUGUGAAAAGAAACGGAUGGACAGCAAGGAACGGACGAGGUCUAUAUAUAAGUAAUUAUGAGAAAGAGAGAGAGUUAGAGGAAGAAAAAGCAAAACAAGAAGAAUAAGAGGAAAAGAAUAAAGGAGGAUAAAAGAAAAAGAUAAAACGAGAACUUAACUAAAGACGAUCUUGUACUCUACAACUAAGUAAUUGUUUUUUAUAUGCGACAUAGUAUAUUAUUAUAUUAUAUAUUAUUAAAAAAUAAAUGAACAAAAAAAUGGAAGAAGUCGAUGCGAAGGAGAAGAGUGAAGGAAAGAAAAUAAUGAGAAGGAGAUAAAAGAUGAGAAAAUCGUAUGCAGAUAGACCGUAAGCGUGCGUUUAAAUACAAUAAUUUACUAUAUAUACAAAUCAUAUUAAAAAAGAUUAAAAACAAAAAAAAAGGAAAAAAAAGAAGAACGGAAAAGAUGAAAAAAAAUGACACGAUAAAUGAAAAACCACAGGAAAUUCAAUAGGUGUAACUCGAAACGAUGAAAAAACAACCAACAAACAAAUAACUUUUAGUGUUAUGUUUUAUGUACUAUAGAUAGUUGCUACGAUAAUGAUAUGAGCGAAUACAGCAAUGAUUUGGACGAGA
This 4215-nucleotide unclassified non-coding RNA is filed under the name Venturia canescens. Its description in RNAcentral is "ran-binding protein 9, transcript variant X2". Lineage: Eukaryota; Metazoa; Arthropoda; Insecta; Hymenoptera; Ichneumonidae. The record is from RNAcentral.